GUAAAAACUAUGAUCAGAACCAGUAAACAAUUGUAUCUAAAGAGAACAAAAUUCUUGGCUGAAAAAUUUUGUGAUAAAUGAUUGUUGAACCCCACUCUGAAAGUUGCAAGUAAACCUUGCCGGACUUAGCCCGUUAAAGUUAUAAAGAUGAAUUGCAUACAUGUUUGUUUUUUAUGUGAUUAAUUUGAGUGGUACCGCGGAUUAACCUUCGUCUCAAUA
RNAcentral lists this non-coding RNA (219 nucleotides) under Clostridium oryzae. RNAcentral's name for it is "T-box sequence". It matches the Rfam family "T-box leader". Rfam says of the family: Uncharged tRNA acts as the effector for transcription antitermination of genes in the T-box leader family. T-boxes are found upstream of many aminoacyl-tRNA synthetase genes and some amino acid biosynthetic genes usually in Gram-positive bacteria. The record is from RNAcentral. Lineage: Bacteria; Bacillati; Bacillota; Clostridia; Eubacteriales; Clostridiaceae.